RNAcentral lists this transfer RNA (74 nucleotides) under subsurface metagenome. RNAcentral's name for it is "tRNA-Met". It matches the Rfam family "tRNA". From Rfam's summary of the family: Transfer RNA (tRNA) molecules are approximately 80 nucleotides in length. Their secondary structure includes four short double-helical elements and three loops (D, anti-codon, and T loops). Further hydrogen bonds mediate the characteristic L-shaped molecular structure. tRNAs have two regions of fundamental functional importance: the anti-codon, which is responsible for specific mRNA codon recognition, and the 3' end, to which the tRNAs corresponding amino acid is attached (by aminoacyl-tRNA synthetases). tRNAs cope with the degeneracy of the genetic code in two manners: having more than one tRNA (with a specific anti-codon) for a particular amino acid; and 'wobble' base-pairing, i.e. permitting non-standard base-pairing at the 3rd anti-codon position. The record is from RNAcentral.
CGCGGGGUGGAGUAGUGGUUGCUCAAUGGCCUCAUAAGCCGUUUACGCAGGUUCGAAUCCUGCCCCCGCUACCA